CAAAUUUCGUUUGGGUUUUUCUGUAAGGUUUUGUGGAAAACCUGAAUGAACUUUUUA
MicroRNA precursor from Bison bison bison, 57 nucleotides. Lineage: Eukaryota; Metazoa; Chordata; Mammalia; Artiodactyla; Bovidae. The record is from Ensembl.